CGGCGAGUGAAGCGGCAACAGCUCAAAUUUGAAAUCUGGCUCUCUUUGGGGGUCCGAGUUGUAAUUUGCAGAGGAUGCUUUGGCAUUGGCGGCGGUCUAAGUUCCUUGGAACAGGACAUCACAGAGGGUGAGAAUCCCGUACGUGGUCGCCUGCCUUUGCCGUGUAAAGCUCCUUCGACGAGUCGAGUUGUUUGGGAAUGCAGCUCUAAAUGGGAGGUAAAUUUCUUCUAAAGCUAAAUACUGGCCAGAGACCGAUAGCGCACAAGUAGAGUGAUCGAAAGAUGAAAAGUACUUUGGAAAGAGAGUCAAAAAGCACGUGAAAUUGUUGAAAGGGAAGCGCUUGCAGCCAGACUUGCCCGCAGUUGCUCACCUAGGCUUUCGCCUGGGGCACUCUUCUGCGGGCAGGCCAGCAUCAGUUUGGGCGGUUGGAUAAAGGCCUCUGUCACGUAUCUCCCUUCGGGGUGACCUUAUAGGGGAGGCGUAAUGCAACCAGCCCGGACUGAGGUCCGCGCAUCUGCUAGGAUGCUGGCGUAAUGGCUGUAAGCGGCCCGUCUUGAAACACGGACCAAGGAGUCUAACAUCUAUG
RNAcentral lists this ribosomal RNA (586 nucleotides) under Paraphaeosphaeria sp. Its description in RNAcentral is "partial large subunit ribosomal RNA". It matches the Rfam family "Eukaryotic large subunit ribosomal RNA", at positions 87 to 686 of the family's 3401-position model. Lineage: Eukaryota; Fungi; Ascomycota; Dothideomycetes; Pleosporales; Didymosphaeriaceae. The record is from RNAcentral.